RNAcentral lists this ribosomal RNA (468 nucleotides) under uncultured bacterium. Its description in RNAcentral is "partial 16S ribosomal RNA". It matches the Rfam family "Bacterial small subunit ribosomal RNA", at positions 28 to 507 of the family's 1533-position model. The record is from RNAcentral.
GACGAACGCUGGCGGCGUGCUUAACACAUGCAAGUCGAACGGAAAGGCGCUGAUCUUGUGCCGUGCUCGAGUGGCGAACGGGUGAGUAACACGUGAGUAACAUGCCCUUGACUUUGGGAGAUAUUUACGAAAAAGGGGCGCAUAUCGCAUAGGAUCUCCUGCUGCGUGUGGGGGGUUGGUAAGAUUCGGCGUUUGUGGAUCGUCUAGAGGGUUCUCCGCUGGAUGGGCGGGUAGUGGCUUACCAAGGUUAUGAAGGGUAGGCGGCCUGGGAGGGUUACCGGGCACAAUGGGACUGAGAUACGGACCAGACUCCUACGGGAGGCAGCAGGGGGGAAUAUUGCACAAUGGGCGGGAGCCUGAUGCAGCAACGCCGCGUGCGUGAUGACGGCCUUCGGGUUGUGAACCGCUUUCGCCUGAGACGAAGCGGGAGUGACGGUAAUGGGUAAAGAAGCACCGGCUAACUACGUG